UAAAGCCUAAUGUCUGUAUGUCUAUUUUUUUAUUUAGUAUUCAGAUACUUAGGUAGUUACCAUACAUCUAAAACUAAAGCAAAAAAUAGGUAGUUACCAUACAUCUAAAACUAAAGCACAAAAUUAUAUCUAACUAUUACAACCAUCUUACAACUAAUAAACUCAAAGAAAACACCUAUUCUAGGUUAUAAAGUACAAAAAAUCACCAAAAGGGUCAAAAAGUCCGAAAUUAGGGGAAAAAUUAAGAAUCACCGAUUGGUGAGAUCACUAAGUUGAUCGACUCAGCACUAAGCCGAUUUCCUCUAGGCUCUUGCUCAAGUCAAUUUCAUACAGUUUCCAAUCCUCUCUCGCCUAGAAGCCGAUUCACAUGCACAAAGAAUAUAAAAAAUGAUUAAUAUAUAAAAAACAAAAUAAAAAGCAUAAAAAUUGAAUAAAACAAAGCCAGAGUAUAUUAAAAAUAUAAAAAAACAAAGAUAAACUAACAAGAGAUAAAAACUUCACUUGGCAUUCCCUAGAACUAAUCAUGCAACCUUAAAUUCAGAUCUAAUCAUAUAAUCACAUGAAUUAUCAUAUAAAGGCAAAAUGAAUCUAACAUGUUAACCUAAUUAUUUAAUUCAUCAGAUUCAAAAUCAGAUAAAAAAUAUGUUAUCAAAUUUAAAAUUCUAUAUAGAUCAUGUUAUCAUAUUCAAAAUCCAGCAUGCAUAAACAUUGCAGAAACAUGUUAGACUAUUAAAAAAACACCCUAGAUCUAAAACAUAAAUCAAAUAGAACAUAAAAGAUCAAUCCUAAUCAUAUUUCUAAACAAACUAAAGAAAAAAAGAAAAAGA
Molecule: long non-coding RNA, 827 nt
Filed under: Ricinus communis (castor bean)
Lineage: Eukaryota; Viridiplantae; Streptophyta; Magnoliopsida; Malpighiales; Euphorbiaceae
Description: long non-coding RNA (RCOM_LNC000297)
Source: RNAcentral